UUCUCUCAUCUUCUCCUCUAUGUUUCUCCAUUAAUUGCUCAUGAAGACAGGAGGAUAAAUUAAGGCUCUACAACAUGCAUUCAACAAGAAUUUUUCACCCAAGCAUUCAUGGCAAUGGUAUGGAAAGGAAAAGAUGAAGAAUUACCAACGGACGGAGAUUUGUUCCGGUUAGAAGUUGCUUGCGGACGACGUGUCGAAGAGAAAUGGAAAACUUCGAGAGAAAGGUUAGCAUUGGGGUGAAAGAAUGGGCUCGAGGCGACAUUGGAAAGUGAAGAUAAAACCAUGGAAAUGAAGCUUCUGGAAGAGGAAAAAUUGUUGGAAACUUGUAUCAUGUAACAUGUAACAUAACCAUGAAAUUCUUGAUGAAAUGCUUAUAUGGCAGGUCUAGGAAAAUUUAGGAGUUAAAAUCGAGUCAAUGGUCAAAAGUUGACUAAAAGUUAACAGUUGACCAAAAAGUCAAUAAUUGACCGAAACGUCAACUUUACCAAAUUGAUGUAAUUUUUUAUUCUCUUUCCUUGUAAUCUAUUAUUUUAACUUGUAUCUCAAGUAAUAAGCAUUGUGCCAUGAAUUUCCAUGAAUGAAUGAAGUAUUCGUUGAAUUUCCAA
This is a long non-coding RNA of Lathyrus oleraceus (garden pea), 605 nucleotides long. RefSeq lists it as uncharacterized. The record is from RefSeq and is a predicted model, not a curated record. The transcript is spliced from 3 exons. Lineage: Eukaryota; Viridiplantae; Streptophyta; Magnoliopsida; Fabales; Fabaceae.